RNAcentral lists this ribosomal RNA (467 nucleotides) under uncultured bacterium. RNAcentral's name for it is "partial 16S ribosomal RNA". It matches the Rfam family "Bacterial small subunit ribosomal RNA", at positions 28 to 506 of the family's 1533-position model. The record is from RNAcentral.
GACGAACGCUGGCGGCGUGCUUAACACAUGCAAGUCGAACGGAAAGGCCCUGCUUUUGUGGGGUGCUCGAGUGGCGAACGGGUGAGUAACACGUGAGUAACCUGCCCUUGACUUUGGGAUAACUUCAGGAAACUGGGGCUAAUACCGGAUAGGAGCUCCUGCUGCAUGGUGGGGGUUGGAAAGUUUCGGCGGUUGGGGAUGGACUCGCGGCUUAUCAGCUUGUUGGUGGGGUAGUGGCUUACCAAGGCUUUGACGGGUAGCCGGCCUGAGAGGGUGACCGGCCACAUUGGGACUGGGAUACGGCCCAGACUCCUACGGGAGGAAGCAGUGGGGAAUAUUGCACAAUGGGCGGAAGCCUGAUGCAGCAACGCGGCGUGCGGGAUGACGGCCUUCGGGUUGUAAACCGCUUUCGCCUGUGACGAAGCGUGAGUGACGGUAAUGGGUAAAGAAGCACCGGCUAACUACGU